Molecule: ribosomal RNA, 279 nt
Filed under: uncultured bacterium
Lineage: Bacteria
Description: partial 16S ribosomal RNA
Rfam family: Bacterial small subunit ribosomal RNA
Source: RNAcentral
UGCCAGCAGCCGCGGUAAUACGGAGGGAUCUAGCGUUAUUCGGAAUUACUGGGCGUAAAGCGAGCGUAGGCGGAUUUGUAAGUUGGAGGUGAAAUCCCAGAGCUUAACUCUGGAACUGCCUUCAAAACUACAUUUCUUGAGUUUGGUAGAGGAGAGUGGAAUUCCUAGUGUAGAGGUGAAAUUCGUAGAUAUUAGAAAGAAUACCAAUUGCGAAGGCAGCUUUCUGGAUCAUUACUGACACUGAGGAACGAAAGCAUGGGUAGCGAAGAGGAUUAGAUA